UUAUGAUUACAAUAAUCAAUUCAAUUUCCCUUUCAAUAUCCAUUCUUUAUCAAUGGUCAUCUAUUUUUGAGUAAACUGUCAACUGUGAGUCCAUUUUUGUAUUUGAUUUAUUUCAUUGUUAAAUUUUGAUAGCGCUAAGUAAAGCUCAAAUGUCCUGCUAUUUGAAACAGUUAAAUCAGUCAGAGAUGGCCAAAGUAAAUUGACUUGUCAACUGACUAAUGCAGCUGUUUUUAUCAUCGAUUGCGAUUGAUGGCCUAAACAUCCAAAUCUAGAUGUGGAUCAUUAUCGUUGAAACGUCUUCUUCUUCUUUCCUUUUUUACUCUCUCUCUCUCCUAAUUAACUUACCUGUCUCACCUAAUUUAGAGUGAACCUUAGGUGGUCAACCUUUAACCCAACCCUUUUCCUUGUCAAAGGAUGGGUCACCUCGAGUCACAAUCUCUUUACCCUAAGGUUACCUUAGAAAAGAAAGUUUGAAAAGAGAAGGAAAAAGUUGGCCUUAAUUGGUUUCGUUUUAACUAGUAUCAUGGACUUGACCAAGCCUAAACAGGUCAUCGCUGUCACGGCGAAACAUCAUAAGAUAAAGAUCGGUUUCUUUGUAAAUUCUGGUUCUCUUUUUACUUUUAAACUUGAGAAAGCAAAAAGCUAAGAAAAUACAAGUGCGAGUAAACGAGAGACGGAUUCAAGUCAUCAAGAAUCGCCUAAUGAAGACAUCAUUACUAGCAACACAACAAUAGACUAAAAUGUAAUAUCGAAAAUUUUUGAACCAUUUUUCAAAAU
This is a long non-coding RNA of Tetranychus urticae (two-spotted spider mite), 777 nucleotides long. RefSeq lists it as uncharacterized. The record is from RefSeq and is a predicted model, not a curated record. NCBI's taxonomy places the organism in Eukaryota, Metazoa, Arthropoda, Arachnida, Trombidiformes, Tetranychidae.